UACAGAGGUCCCAAGCGUUGUUCGGAUUCACUGGGCGUAAAGGGCGCGUAGGUGGCGCCGUAAGUCAGGUGUGAAAUUUCGGAGCUUAACUCCGAAACUGCAUUUGAUACUGCGGUGCUUGAGGACUGGAGAGGAGACUGGAAUUUACGGUGUAGCAGUGAAAUGCGUAGAUAUCGUAAGGAAGACCAGUGGCGAAGGCGGGUCUCUGGACAGUUCCUGACACUGAGGCACGAAGGCCAGGGGAGCAAACGGG
This 253-nucleotide ribosomal RNA is filed under the name uncultured bacterium. RNAcentral describes it as "partial 16S ribosomal RNA". It matches the Rfam family "Bacterial small subunit ribosomal RNA", at positions 524 to 776 of the family's 1533-position model. The record is from RNAcentral.